AGCAGCGUGGCUCAGUGGAAAGAGCCUGGGCUUUGGAGUCAGAGGUCAUGGGUUCGACUCCCGGCUCUGUCA
Molecule: transfer RNA, 72 nt
Filed under: Ornithorhynchus anatinus (platypus)
Lineage: Eukaryota; Metazoa; Chordata; Mammalia; Monotremata; Ornithorhynchidae
Rfam family: tRNA
About the family: Transfer RNA (tRNA) molecules are approximately 80 nucleotides in length. Their secondary structure includes four short double-helical elements and three loops (D, anti-codon, and T loops).
Source: Rfam by way of RNAcentral